Molecule: ribosomal RNA, 631 nt
Filed under: Staphylococcus argenteus
Lineage: Bacteria; Bacillati; Bacillota; Bacilli; Caryophanales; Staphylococcaceae
Description: partial 23S ribosomal RNA
Rfam family: Bacterial large subunit ribosomal RNA
Source: RNAcentral
UGAGCUGUGAUGGGGAGAAGACAUUGUGUCUUCGAGUCGUUGAUUUCACACUGCCGAGAAAAGCCUCUAGAUAGAAAAUAGGUGCCCGUACCGCAAACCGACACAGGUAGUCAAGAUGAGAAUUCUAAGGUGAGCGAGCGAACUCUCGUUAAGGAACUCGGCAAAAUGACCCCGUAACUUCGGGAGAAGGGGUGCUCUUUAGGGUUAACGCCCAGAAGAGCCGCAGUGAAUAGGCCCAAGCGACUGUUUAUCAAAAACACAGGUCUCUGCUAAACCGUAAGGUGAUGUAUAGGGGCUGACGCCUGCCCGGUGCUGGAAGGUUAAGAGGAGUGGUUAGCUUCUGCGAAGCUACGAAUCGAAGCCCCAGUAAACGGCGGCCGUAACUAUAACGGUCCUAAGGUAGCGAAAUUCCUUGUCGGGUAAGUUCCGACCCGCACGAAAGGCGUAACGAUUUGGGCACUGUCUCAACGAGAGACUCGGUGAAAUCAUAGUACCUGUGAAGAUGCAGGUUACCCGCGACAGGACGGAAAGACCCCGUGGAGCUUUACUGUAGCCUGAUAUUGAAAUUCGGCACAGCUUGUACAGGAUAGGUAGGAGCCUUUGAAACGUGAGCGCUAGCUUACGUGGAGGC